RNAcentral lists this long non-coding RNA (4076 nucleotides) under Lactuca sativa (garden lettuce). RNAcentral describes it as "long non-coding RNA (LSAT_LNC003383)". Lineage: Eukaryota; Viridiplantae; Streptophyta; Magnoliopsida; Asterales; Asteraceae. The record is from RNAcentral.
CCGAUAUUCUAGACUAUCGUUUCUAGUUUUUUUUUUUCCUGAAAUCGCAUACACCAAUUGUUGUGUUCAAUUUCUACAUUUCAAAGUACCAAUCUCUUGUAAUCGGAGAUUUCAUCAACUUCGUAGUGGCCUUACAGUGUAGCCACCCCACUACCACAAUUUCUUAAUAGCAUAAUCGGGAAUAAAUAAUAUGUUUGAAAUCCAAAAUCGAAAGGAAUACAAAUCCAAUUUCGUAAUAGUUAGUAGAGCAGAAAGAUACCUAAAAAGCGAUUUCAGUCCGUUGCUAAAGUUAUGAAGAAAAAAUGGCGUCCUUGUGGUCUAAUUUUGGAAUAUGUUGGCUGUCGGAUUUCAAUGAUGAAAAUAGGGCGAUGAUGAAGAAGAGGUAAAAUAACUAAUUUCGUUUUUAUAGAAUAUGAGAUUCAAUGUACUCCCUGUAUUUAUUAUUUGAAUUUUGAUUGUAUUUCAAAAUUGAAUCUUGAUUUGUUCUCUUAAAUCUAUGUAUUAUUUUCAAAUAAUGAGAUUUUAAUGUUGGUGCCUACAACAGUGAACAUAUGAUGGGGGUGUAAAAUUAGGUUUCUUAAUUUGAAUGAAAAUUGUUAUGUUUUGGUGUAAGCUUGCUAAGAUAAAUAACCAAUUAGUGUAUUAGGCAAAAUUUUAGUGGUAUUUUGGUUGAGAAGUUAUAUGUAUGAAAUGAAAUAGUUGUUUAUUUGAUUAUAUGUGUGUAAGCAUAUUGAGCAAAGUGGAAUGUUGUGUAGGAGACAGUGGAAUUGAAAAAAAAAAUUAUUAUAUCUAUAUGAAAGUGGAAUGCUAUAAGAGACAUACAGUUGAAAGAACAUUAAUAUUUUAAGGAAUACAAGUUAAAAUAGUAAAAGUAAAAUGUGCUCAAUAUAGCGAGAUUUUUUUUCUUUGAUUUGAACAUGUGUUUGUGUGUUUGUAAGAUGUAAUGAAAGUAUAUUGCAAUUAGAAAGUAUAUGAACAAAAAAGUAAAAGAAACAGUUAAAUUACAUUGUAAUAUAUUUUUCAAUAUUUUGAUAGCAUUGUAUAUUCAUACUUUUUUUUAUAUAUAUAAAAAACACAUUUACAAUAAUGUAUGUUUUGUUAUUGUAGCAGCAAAUCUCCAUAAUCAUAAAGCAUGAUGGUGGUUAUUGAGUCGAGUGUUGAAGAGUAUGUUGCAUUCAACAACAGCUUAGAGAAUCUCACAUGAUUUCUUUUCACAUCUUAUGAAAGGUAUGUCAUUUCCACAAAUAUAUUAAAAUCCAUCAAUCCAGCAUAGUAAACAAUUAUAUUAUUAAAAGUACAAUGGUAUACUUAGUAUUUAAAGUAACUGCAUGAAUUUUUAAUAACUUAAUGGAAAAACAAAAGAAAACCAUAUGCAAGAUUACCAAUUCAUCAUAUAAAACCAUUAUUUUUGAACAUUUGGUGUCAAAACCUUCAUCUUCUCUUCAUUUUCUGUUGAAAUGCACAAUGAUUUUGUUACAUUCACGACAUCAAAAACUAUCAAACUUACAGUUUUCUUUUUAAAAAUACAAUAUAAAAGGGCAUAUUUGUCAUUUUUAUAAUAUAAAAGGGCAUAGUUGUCAUUUUCUAAUAUAAAAGGGCAGACUUGUCAUUUCUAAUAUAAAGGGGCAGAAUUAUCAUUUUGUACCUAAAUCAUAAUCAAAAAAUAUAUAACCGACAGAAAUUGAUAAAUGACAGUAUUUCUAUUAAAAUGACAUAUUUGUCACUUUUAUAAUAUAAAAGGGCAGAAUUGCAUUUUCUACCUAAAUGAUAGCUUGAAUUUAUAUUUGAUAGUAAAAAACAUAAUAAAAAAUAUAGCCAACAAAAAAUAAACAAUUGCAGUUUUUCUAUUAAAAGGGCAUAUUUGUCAUUUUUAUAAUAUAAAUAUAAAAGGGCAUAGUUGUCAUUUUCUAAUAUAAAAGGGUGGAGUUGUCAUUUUCUAAUAUAAAAGGGCAGAAUUGUAAAUAUUGUUAUGUUUUAGGAAGCCGAUCUAUUUCAACCACUCUGAAUGGAUUUGCAAUAAUCAGUUUGAAAUAAAUUAUAGAAAUGGUCCUGUUUGGUUUUUUCUCUUUAGCAUUGUACUUAAGUAUAAGCUAAAUUCUCUAUAUUUCAUAAUAGCAUCCUAUUUUAAAAUGGUGGAAGUCACCAAAUUUACAGAAAAUUGUCACUGUUUAAAUAAAUUUACAGAAAAAGUCCCUGUACAAAGUAAAAUUUCAUAAUAGAAAAUUAAGGUAAACUGCAAUUGACAUAAAAGAUACAUGACUGCUUUCAUUGAAAUCUUGAGCAUAAUAUGCUACUAUGCUUAUAGUUAUAGACGAAUCAAUGUUUGUUCAUAUACUUUAACUUAAUUUAUUUAACGUGAAUGCCUAUAAGAUAUUACAUACACAAAGGAACAAACAUAAAUACACAUAUAUGUUUAUACGAUGGUACAUAAGAAGUUGAAAGAGGAGUAGAAGAUAUAAAUAAUCAAAAUAAGGAAAAAAAUCGGCAUAGUUGUUUAAAGGAUGCUUUACCAGAAUUACACAGAUGAAGAAGUAGAUAUGAAACAAAUUAGAGAAAGGACAAAUGUUGGAAAAAAAUUUAGGGGUUUGGGAUUUAUAGGUACAAUGAAUAUGUGAAGAUGAUAUUGUGAUCAUGAUUGCAUUCCUAUUAUGAUUGCUAUAAAUUUGGUAAAAAAAAUUAAAGAAUUAAAAAUUAUUGUUGAUUAUAUGGGAUAUUGUUGAUUUCAUUCCUUUAUGUAAUCUGUUAAUUACAUAUCGGACCCUAAAUUUACAAAAUCACAACAACAUAGUUUUAAGUCCCAACAGAAAGUUAUUAAUUACAUAUUGGACCCAAAAUUUAGAAAAUCAUAGCAAAAUAGUCUUAAUUACAUAUUUUAAAGUGUUUUUUUUUUCAUUAAUCACAACAACAUAGUUUCAAAGUAUAUUGCUAUAAUUUAAAAAAAAAAUUAAAAAAAGGACACCAAUAUAACAACAUUUACGCCUGCUUAGUUUUCGGUUAUUUUUAAUAGUGUUGAAAGGUGAGGGGUAAAAGAGUCAUUUACUUCCAAAAAAACUUCGUUUACUUUUCAAAAAGAGUUGCAACUUUAUAUGAAGUUAAAAAGACAAAAAUAACAAUGUUUCAUAAUAAAUGGACCAAAAUGCCCUUUUCCUAUUUUUCUACUGUUUAAUAUCACAACUGGAUGUCAUUAUGGGUUAUAAUGUUUUUAAAACAUAUAAGUCUAAUAAAUGGACCAAAAUACCCUUUCUGCAUAUAAUCACAACAACAUAGUUUCAAAGUAUAUUGCUAUAAUUUUAAAAAAAAAUUUAAAAUGGACAACAAUAUAACAACAAUUACAACUGCAUAGUUUUCGCUUUAUUUUUAAUAGUGUUGUAAGGUGAGGGGUAAAGGAGUCAUUUACUUCCAAAAAGAACUUUCAAUUUUUGAUAAAACAGUCAUUUACUUUUCAAAAAGAGUUGCAUCUUUUUAAUGAAAAAAAAUAAAAAUUUGGUCUAAACUGUCAUAUUGGCCAAAUGUACUUAAAAAGAGUUGCAGAUAAGAAGAUAUGUUUUCUUUUACUGAUUUAAAUCAGGAACCACAACAGAUAAAACAUACCUUCAAAGAAAGGUUUUUAGAAAAAAGAAAGUAUGUUAAAGUAUUUCAGAACAAUGUUAUAAAUAUUGGUUUAUGAAGAUGAACUAACCAAAUUUGUUAUGUUGUCUCUUCUGCAGAAAUAGUAUUGUUGAAGAUGAGAAAGCACAAUAAAACUCGACAAAGGGAAGGAAUGUGGAGGACGUGUUGAUGAUAAUGAAAUAUAAAUGGAGUCAAAAUAUUAAUUUCAAGUUGCUGAUUUUUUGGGAUUUCAUUGAAAUUUUGAAAAGAGUCAAAAUAAGAGAGGAUUUUUUACCAAACAAAUCAAACGUGAAUUGCUGUUGUUUUCAAAAAGCAUGGAAUUUAAAUUUAAAUUUAAAUGUUAUAAGAAACCCAAAAAUGCAAUAAGUUGAAAAAAAAAUCAGGAUUACAAUUUAAUUUUAAUGUAAUUUAAUUUUAAUAAGAAUAAGAAUUAUUCAUAAAAUGACACGUGGCAUGUUAGAAUGGUA